Molecule: ribosomal RNA, 472 nt
Filed under: uncultured organism
Description: partial 16S ribosomal RNA
Rfam family: Bacterial small subunit ribosomal RNA
Source: RNAcentral
ACACUCCUGCGGGAGGCAGCAGUGGGGAAUAUUGCACAAUGGGCGCAAGCCUGAUGCAGCCAUGCCGCGUGUAUGAAGAAGGCCUUCGGGUUGUAAAGUACUUUCAGCGGGGAGGAAGGCAAUACGGUUAAUAACCGUGUUGAUUGACGUUACCCGCAGAAGAAGCACCGGCUAACUCCGUGCCAGCAGCCGCGGUAAUACGGAGGGUGCAAGCGUUAAUCGGAAUUACUGGGCGUAAAGCGCACGCAGGCGGUCUGUCAAGUCGGAUGUGAAAUCCCCGGGCUCAACCUGGGAACUGCAUUCGAAACUGGCAGGCUUGAGUCUUGUAGAGGGGGGUAGAAUUCCAGGUGUAGCGGUGAAAUGCGUAGAGAUCUGGAGGAAUACCGGUGGCGAAGGCGGCCCCCUGGACAAAGACUGACGCUCAGGUGCGAAAGCGUGGGGAGCAAACAGGAUUAGAUACCCCGGUAGUCCC